RNAcentral lists this ribosomal RNA (469 nucleotides) under uncultured organism. RNAcentral describes it as "bacterial SSU rRNA". It matches the Rfam family "Bacterial small subunit ribosomal RNA", at positions 28 to 507 of the family's 1533-position model. The record is from RNAcentral.
GAUGAACGCUGGCGGCGUGCUUAACACAUUCAAGUCGAACGAAGAAGAUUGGAGCUUGCUCCGAUCGGAUUAGUGGCGGACGGGUGAGUAACGCGUGAGUAACCUGCCUGCGAGAGGGGGAUAACAACGGGAAACUGUUGCUAAUACCGCAUAACGCAUCGAUUCCGCAUGGAGAUGAUGCCAAAGGGAAACCGCUUGCAGAUGGACUCGCGUCUGAUUAGGUAGUUGGUGAGGUAACGGCUCACCAAGCCGACGAUCAGUAGCCGGACUGAGAGGUUGAACGGCCACAUUGGAACUGAGAUACGGUCCAGACUCCUACGGGAGGCAGCAGUGGGGAAUAUUGGGCAAUGGGCGAAAGCCUGACCCAGCGACGCCGCGUGAAGGAAGAAGGCCUUCGGGUUGUAAACUUUAGUAAGCAGGGAAGAAGAAAGUGACGGUACCUGCAGAGUAAGCCACGGCUAACUACGUG